AAUCAAUCGUGUGCAGAGGGGAAUAGCAGGUUAUGCGUCUCUGUUAGAGACUACUACUGUCACAUGCUGCAAACAAGGCCUGCGAUCUUCAAUCCAAUACUCUGUGGAGCACGCCUGCUGCAACAAUGGGUGGUUGACAUGUACAUCAAGAUUGAGAGCUGUCGGUUGAGGUGGUACAGGAAGAACCAGACACAGAUCUGUGCCGAUUUGUAUAAAGGAGUUGUUGAUGCGAUAACAUCGGGGAAGACGCGAGCAAGCGCUGUUGGGGUGAGAAUAGUAUGUUGGGGAACGUAG
RNAcentral lists this ribosomal RNA (294 nucleotides) under Triticum aestivum (bread wheat). Its description in RNAcentral is "partial small subunit ribosomal RNA". Lineage: Eukaryota; Viridiplantae; Streptophyta; Magnoliopsida; Poales; Poaceae. The record is from RNAcentral.